ACCCGGGUCCCAGGCAGAUCGCAGCCUGUCCAGCUGCUGACAAUAAAUGGAGCCUACAGAGCGAGGCAGCCGUAUGGCUUUCUCAGAAAGAUUUGUUUUUUGUGUUAUUCAGUUAGGCAGGGAACGUCUGCGAGUAACCAAACACGCCUGAAGACCCUUUGAGAGAUGAAGGACUAUCAACACCAAGAGCAUGGCUUCGGGAGCCGUUCUGCCUGGAUUCAGGGCGUCAUUACACGCCUGGCCUGAGAAAAGUUGCCAAGAAUCUCUAUGCCUCAGUCUUCUCUGUCGUAAAAUGGGAAAAUCUAACUCACAGGCAAGAAUUCAGUGAAUUUUGCUUAAAGUGCUGGCAUAGGGUAAACGCCACGGCUAUUGAGUCACCCAGCUUUGCCAGAGCCAAGAGGUCAUUACAAAACUUUGCUCUCUGUAUUUUGUCAGCUGUCUUUCUGUUCGCUCUUGUUUCUGUGGAGACCUGUUUCAUCUCAUGACACACGUGGAGCCUCAUGGCUGCCUUCAAAUGGAAGCCCAACCCCCAGCCUACAGCCUCUGCUAGGCCACCACAGACAGCAGACCCAGUCUCCGUGCCCAGUUGUAUCAGGGCACCACCCCAACCUCAGGAUCUCUGUAAGAAGUGGCACCUUCUGGUCCAUAGGGCUACCCCUUCUGUGUCUCUGGGUAGUCUUUGGUCUCCACGAAGAGAAUGUGCUCAGCAGGUGGAAAUAAUGGACAUGUCUGGUGCUGUGUCCUGAGGAUAAGGUCAUCCCAGGCACACUGGACACCCAGGUCAAGACAGCAGACAGUGGCUAGACUCUGAGUCAUCAGUGGAGAGGGAAUUUUCCAUUUUACCCAACUGUCUAGGCUUCCACGGACUCAAGACCAGGGCAAGACUCAGCACACGGGUAGUAGGAUUUUACAGCAGACCUAUGGGUGGGCCACGGUGGGUGGUAACUGACAUCAUGUACAGAAAUAACUAUAAUAUAAACAUGGAAGGAUUCACUUAUUUCAACCCAUUUGCUCACUUGUUCAACAAAUAUUUAUUGAGUGACUUCUAAGUGCCAUGCUAAGGAAUAUGCAAUUUUUUAUUAAUAGUAGAAACACACAUUUUCUUAAAAGAGAUGAGGAAUAUUUUUGUAAUCUCAGAAGUAAUGCUCUUAACCCAGUUCUCUAUGUAAAUAAUCCAUUUAUUAUGGUGCUCCUCUGAUGGUAGCGACAAAUCUUGUUGGAUGUCUUAAUCAUAUUAUUUAAAAGUUACUAUUAUUCAACUGACUCACUAUGAUCCUUAUACAAAACAAUCCCUGGAAAUUGGCAGUGAUUCUAUAAAAUAUUUCAUACAUACAUUUAUUUGUAUCUAUCUACAUAUAUAUAUACACAUAAAAUAUAUAACAUAAUAAAAUGAAAACCCAUAUAUUCACCAAUAGGCUUAAGAAAUAGAAUUAUAGCAAUUUCUCUGAAGCCUCCUGUGUGCCCCUCCCAGGUUGGGAUCCCCAUCCCUCCCUGAAAAGUAGACCGCUCUUCUGAAUUUGGUGUGAAUGAAUCGUUCUCUUACCUUACUUCAUAGGUUUUAUUAUAUGUGAUUCUAUCCCUAAACAAAAAAUCAUCAGUUUUGUCUAUUCUGGAAUUUCAAAUAAAUGGGAUCAUAUUGUCUCUGUUCUUUAUCAAUAAAUAGAUAGAUAUCCAUUUA
Molecule: long non-coding RNA, 1678 nt
Organism: Prionailurus viverrinus (fishing cat)
Lineage: Eukaryota; Metazoa; Chordata; Mammalia; Carnivora; Felidae
Exons: 2
Source: RefSeq, a predicted model, not a curated record